UGGUUCUGGCAUCGAUGAAGAACGCAGCGAAAUGCGAUAAGUAAUGUGAAUUGCAGAAUUUAGUGAAUCAUCGAAUCUUUGAACGCACAUUGCGCCCUCUGGUAUUCCGGGGGGCAUGCCUGUUCGAGCGUCAUUACAACCCUCAAGCUCUGCUUGGUAUUAGGCCUCGCCUGCUAAGGCGGACCGUAAAAUCACUGGCGGUGCUAGUAGGCUUCAAGCGUAGUAAACAUUCUCGCUGUGGAGGACCUGCUAAGUGCCUGCCAAAAACCUCAUACAUGUUGACCUCGGAUCAGGUAGGGAUACCCGCUGA
This 310-nucleotide unclassified non-coding RNA is filed under the name uncultured fungus. RNAcentral describes it as "partial contains 5.8S ribosomal RNA and internal transcribed spacer 2". The stretch from base 1 to 133 matches the Rfam family "5.8S ribosomal RNA", at positions 22 to 154 of the family's 154-position model. Lineage: Eukaryota; Fungi. The record is from RNAcentral.